UACGGAGGAUGCAAGCGUUAUCCGGAUUCAUUGGGUUUAAAGGGUGCGUAGGCGGUCUGAUAAGUUAGAGGUGAAAGGCAGUGGCUCAACCACUGACAUGCCUCUGAUACUGUCAGACUAGAGAAUAGUUGCUGAGGGCGGAAUGUGUGGUGUAGCGGUGAAAUGCUUAGAUAUCACACAGAACACCGAUUGCGAAGGCAGCUCUCAAAGCUAUAUCUGACGCUGAGGCACGAAAG
RNAcentral lists this ribosomal RNA (236 nucleotides) under uncultured prokaryote. Its description in RNAcentral is "partial 16S ribosomal RNA". It matches the Rfam family "Bacterial small subunit ribosomal RNA", at positions 524 to 759 of the family's 1533-position model. The record is from RNAcentral.